RNAcentral lists this ribosomal RNA (286 nucleotides) under uncultured bacterium. RNAcentral describes it as "partial 16S ribosomal RNA". It matches the Rfam family "Bacterial small subunit ribosomal RNA", at positions 355 to 658 of the family's 1533-position model. The record is from RNAcentral.
UGGGGAAUCUUGCACAAUGGGGGAAACCCUGAUGCAGCGACGCCGCGUGAGCGAUGAAGCCCUUCGGGGUGUAAAGCUCUCUCGGCAGGGACGAUAAUGACGGUACCUGCAGAAGCAGCUGCGGCUAACUACGUGCCAGCAGCCGCGGUAAUACGUAGGCAGCGAGCGUUGUUCGGAGUUACUGGGCGUAAAGGGUGUGUAGGCGGUUCUCUAAGUUUGGUGUGAAAUCUCCCGGCUCAACCGGGAGGGUGCGCCGAAAACUGGGGGACUAGAGUGCGGGAUGGGA